This 1550-nucleotide long non-coding RNA is filed under the name Neodiprion pinetum (white pine sawfly). Its description in RNAcentral is "uncharacterized LOC124220391". The record is from RNAcentral. Lineage: Eukaryota; Metazoa; Arthropoda; Insecta; Hymenoptera; Diprionidae.
UUUCAGUUAAUACUGUCAAACUAGUAUGCGUGUGUCAGUAAAAGGAUUCAAAUUUCGUAGAAUGUGAGUCUGAAGAUCUCGGAAUUGAAGCAACAAAACAGAAGGAAAAGUAGCCACUGGUGUGGCCUGUACCAAAAGUACGAUAUUCACCAUGUCGCUUCCCGACGCAAUGGGAAUUAAGCAUACGGGGGAAACGCCCAGUCAACAGAAAGAGGUCUACUUCGAAGGUGCGGAGGCUUGACAUAGUCUUUUGGUGAACAGGAGUGACAUACCUUGAUCGGGAGUUGAACUCCCUCGACCUCAGACGUCGGCAGAGGAUGGAACUGCAGAUCACUUGUACCAGAUUCGUGACGACGGCAAUAACGAAAAAACGAAAGCUUAUGAGUUCGUCGCAGAAUGACGUGCUUCGGAGGACCGAGGUGUGCCGCUAUUAUCCGCCUCUGGGAUCACUUUGUUGGCUUGGCUCGGCUUGACUUCACUUGGGGACCGCUCACAGCACACACGGCACAACGCAACGAACACAGUAGUUCCUCGCCUUCUAGCUUACCGCAGAAGACAGAGAACGGUACGGAAUGGAACCGAACGGAACGGGCCCCUCUGCACUACUCCUUUACGAACAGGUGUGGAGGGGAGACCAGAAACCACCAGCCAUACUACUGGCUAGGUAUGCGAUCCGAUAACCCGCUCAGAGUUACAUUUAUGUGCAACACACUCACCUCGACUUCAGCGAUUCUCAUUUGAUCCAUGGGACUUUUAUUCCAUCCUUCACCAUCUGGCAUUCAUGGAUCAGAAGGAGGAACAAUCAUUGUAAUGUUCGGACAAAUGAAUUGCUCAAUGGUUCCAAUGACCUUCAUCAUCUCUUCUGUGCGAAAUUCACGAAACUCCGCGUCUACAGUCCGCCAUUCGAGUGAUAACCAAAGUUGACGUUAGAUUCAAGCUUCAGCAUGAACCCGUUCGUCUGACUGAACAGAAUGCUUUUUGAUUUCGUAAAAAGUUGAGCAGAGAAAAAUCAAACCAUUUAUUUAACCACUGGCUUCGAUUGACCAAUAAUGAAAUCGACACUACUCGAUUUUCUUGUGGAUUGGUGAAAAGGCCCCAUGUGAUCAACUGUGUGAUGGAAGUUGUUCGAACACUAUAUGCUGAGUGGAAUCACUCAGAACCAGCUAAUGCUAAUGGCAUAUAGCAUAAACAGCUUUUUCGGUUCCAGUAGCGGUACAACAUAGAAGAAAAUAAAGGGCUUCUGGGUCUGAAGUGUAACGGAUUUGUUGUAAUGUUUAUUGCAGAUGUUACCUGCUAUGGCUGACCGACUAACACGUUUGAGAACAGACUGAAGCAUGAGGAAUAAUUGCGAAACUCGUUUACGGGGCAUUUGUACCGUUGUUCACUUUCAAUUCGUCGUAGUCCGCGUAGAUCGGCAUGUACUCGAUGUUCAAUAUUAUUUUCGCUAUUACUGUACCUACUACUAAUUACACUCACUGUCACCUGAUUGUCUUCGUGUAAAAGCCUGAUGAAUUUCGUACGGUACGAAGAAUAAACAGUUGUGAAGAUCC